GGAGGGAUCAUUAACACGUUUUAAAACACGUUUUAACACCCACUCACCAACCACGUGAACUAUUUAACUUGAAAGGGAGAUGAUAUGUAGCAAUACAUCCCUCUCUCUUCUUUCGAAACACCCCUUUCACCCCUUCUAUAACUAUUGACUGAUCUUUUCUUUGUUGCUCAGCAAUGAGUAUAAUAAGAAAAACCUAAUCAAAUAUCUAAGCACAACUCUUAGCAACGGAUAUCUUGGUUCUCGCAACGAUGAAGAACGCAGCGAAAUGCGAUAUGUAAUGCGAAUUGCAGAAUUCAGUGAAUAAUCAAAUCUUUGAACGCAAAUGGCGGUCUCGGGUUAGUCCUGAGACCACGCCUCUCUCAGUAUCGGUUCAACCUCACCUCGAAUGCGUAUGAUACAUGUGCAAACAUGUGUCAUGCAACCUUCGGAUAAUGAGAGUAAUAUAGCUUUUAAGUAAGCGAGUAUUUCUCUUUAAAUACGUUGAGCUCGGAACAACUAGUAACCCUUAGACGCAAGUCUAAUAGCCUGUUGUGCUAUUUCUCCUUACUAGUGAACGUGGAUAAUUUCAUAUCUUGGCGCAAGCUUUGGUGUGAAUUGAAACGUCUCACACAUGUUUGAAGAAAAUUAUAUAGUGCUUCAGUGUGAACCUUACCUGUCUGUUCUCAUAGCGAUAUUAGAAUUAAUCCAGUAUAAACACUCGUGUUUACACUUUCGAAUUAGAUCUGAGAUGAAGCGAGGAGACCCCCUGAAUUUAAGCAUAUUAUUAAGGGGAGGAAAAGGAACUAACAAGGAUUCCCCCAGUAACGGCGAGUGAAGCGGGAUGAGCUCAAGUUGAUAAUCGGUGAUCCAUGCGGGUCGUUCCGAAUUGUACCCUAGAGACGUGUGAUCAGCGUGUGACCCAGGUCCAAGUCCUUUGGAAGAAGGCAUCAGAGAGGGUGAGAAUCCCGUCCCGAACCUGGAGUUCGCCGCGUACGAUGCAUGCUCACAGAGUCGAGUUGUUUGGGAUUGCAGCUCUAAAACGGUGGUAAGGUUCAUCGAAAGCUAAAUACAGGCGAGAGACCGAUAGCGAACAAGUACCGUGAGGGAAAGAUGAAAAGAACUUUGAAAAGAGAGUUAAAAAGUACUUGAAAUUGCUAAGAGGGAAGCGCUAAAAACCAGUGUGACUGCUCUCAUUCUGCCUAUCCAUCUCUCUGUUUGGCGAUGGUACCUAGUUGGCAACUCUAGGUGCUGUUGUUUAGAUGGAGAGUGGGUGGGUCCUGUGGGAGUAGCGCGUCAGGAUCAGUUCAGACGUGCAGGAGAGGAUGUGGAUAGAAGGUAGGGAUGGCAACAUCCUGUUAUAUCUGUCUCAUUCGACUGUGCUCCGGACUGAGGAAAUAGUAAUGGUGCGCCACUAGGCUUGUACCUCUGUUGCUCUGUAGCACGAAUGGUUUGGAUGACAAUGUCAUGCGGUCGUUCGUGUUGCAUACGCAGUGGAACGUGUCGAUGCACCCAUCACGAUUCUGACUAAAUGGUUUUUAUCGACCCGUCUUGAAACACGGACCAAGGAGUCUAACAUAUAUGCGAGUAUUUGGGUGCAUUAAACCCGCGUGCGUAAUGAAAGUAAAGGUGGGCUUGUCUCACUGAGGUAGGAAUCUUGUGUGAAUAGCAUGAGAGGCACUAUCGACCGAUCGUCACUUGUGAAAGAUUUGAGUCAGAGCAUAUCUGUUGGGACCCGAAAGAUGGUGAUCUAUGCCUGAACAGGGUGAAGCCAGGGGAAACUCUGGUGGAGGCUCGUAGCGAUACUGACGUGCAAAUCGUUCGUCUGAUUUGGGUAUAGGGGCGAAAGACUAAUCGAACUAUCUAGUAGCUGGUUCCCUC
Molecule: unclassified non-coding RNA, 1857 nt
Filed under: uncultured fungus
Lineage: Eukaryota; Fungi
Description: sequence contains 18S rRNA gene, ITS1, 5.8S rRNA gene, ITS2, 28S rRNA gene
Rfam family: Eukaryotic large subunit ribosomal RNA (bases 719-1857)
Source: RNAcentral